This 301-nucleotide ribosomal RNA is filed under the name uncultured bacterium. RNAcentral describes it as "partial 16S ribosomal RNA". It matches the Rfam family "Bacterial small subunit ribosomal RNA", at positions 510 to 808 of the family's 1533-position model. The record is from RNAcentral.
AGCCGCCACGGGAAUACGAAGGGUGCAAGCGUUACUCGGAAUUACUGGGCGUAAAGCGUGCGUAGGUGGUGGUUUAAGUCCGUUGUGAAAGCCCUGGGCUCAACCUGGGAAUUGCAGUGGAUACUGGGUCACUAGAGUGUGGUAGAGGAUAGUGGAAUUUCCGGUGUAGCAGUGAAAUGCGUAGAGAUCGGAAGGAACAUCUGUGGCGAAGGCGACUAUCUGGGCCAACACUGACACUGAGGCACGAAAGCGUGGGGAGCAAACAGGAUUAGAUACCCGUGUAGUCCCUGUCUCUUAUACA